AGAGUUUGAUCCUGGCUCAGGACGAACGCUGGCGGCGUGCUUAACACAUGCAAGUCGAACGCUGAACCGGUUUCGGCCGGGGAUGAGUGGCGAACGGGUGAGUAACACGUGGGUAAUCUGCCCUGCACUCUGGGAUAAGCCUGGGAAACUGGGUCUAAUACCGGAUAUGACCACUGGAGGCAUCUUUGGUGGUGGAAAGUUCCGGCGGUGCAGGAUGAACCCGCGGCCUAUCAGCUUGUUGGUGGGGUAAUGGCCUACCAAGGCGACGACGGGUAGCCGGCCUGAGAGGGUGACCGGCCACACUGGGACUGAGACACGGCCCAGACUCCUACGGGAGGCAGCAGUGGGGAAUAUUGCACAAUGGGCGCAAGCCUGAUGCAGCGACGCCGCGUGAGGGAUGACGGCCUUCGGGUUGUAAACCUCUUUCGCCAGGGACGAAGCGCAAGUGACGGUACCUGGAUAAGAAGCACCGGCUAACUACGUGCCAGCAGCCGCGGUAAUACGUAGGGUGCGAGCGUUGUCCGGAAUUAUUGGGCGUAAAGAGCUCGUAGGCGGUUUGUCGCGUCGGCCGUGAAAUCUCCACGCUUAACGUGGAGCGUGCGGUCGAUACGGGCAGACUUGAGUUCGGCAGGGGAGACUGGAAUUCCUGGUGUAGCGGUGAAAUGCGCAGAUAUCAGGAGGAACACCGGUGGCGAAGGCGGGUCUCUGGGCCGAUACUGACGCUGAGGAGCGAAAGCGUGGGGAGCGAACAGGAUUAGAUACCCUGGUAGUCCACGCU
RNAcentral lists this ribosomal RNA (778 nucleotides) under Amycolatopsis benzoatilytica AK 16/65. RNAcentral describes it as "bacterial SSU rRNA". It matches the Rfam family "Bacterial small subunit ribosomal RNA", at positions 8 to 801 of the family's 1533-position model. Lineage: Bacteria; Bacillati; Actinomycetota; Actinomycetes; Pseudonocardiales; Pseudonocardiaceae. The record is from RNAcentral.